Molecule: ribosomal RNA, 207 nt
Filed under: uncultured bacterium
Lineage: Bacteria
Description: partial 16S ribosomal RNA
Rfam family: Bacterial small subunit ribosomal RNA
Source: RNAcentral
UGCGUAGGUGGUUUAUUAAGUUAUCUGUGAAAUUCCUGGGCUUAACCUAGGGUGGUCAGAUGAUACUGGUAGACUGGAGUAUAGGAGAGGGCAGUGGAAUUUCCGGUGUAGCGGUGAAAUGCGUAGAGAUCGGAAGGAACACCAGCGGCGAAGGCGGCUGCCUGGCCUAAUACUGACACUGAGGCACGAAAGCGUGGGGAGCAAACA